UAAGGGCGCACGGUGGAUGCCUUGGCACUAGAAGCCGAUGAAGGACGUUACUAACGACGAUAUGCUUUGGGGAGCUGUAAGUAAGCUUUGAUCCAGAGAUUUCCGAAUGGGGAAACCCAGCAUGAGUUAUGUCAUGUUAUCGAUAUGUGAAUACAUAGCAUAUCAGAAGGCACACCCGGAGAACUGAAACAUCUUAGUACCCGGAGGAAGAGAAAGAAAAUUCGAUUCCCUUAGUAGCGGCGAGCGAAACGGGAAGAGCCCAAACCAACAAGCUUGCUUGUUGGGGUUGUAGGACACUCUAUACGGAGUUACAAAGGACGACAUUAGACGAAUCAUCUGGAAAGAUGAAUCAAAGAAGGUAAUAAUCCUGUAGUCGAAAAUGUUGUCUCUCUUGAGUGGAUCCUGAGUACGACGGAGCACGUGAAAUUCCGUCGGAAUCUGGGAGGACCAUCUCCUAAGGCUAAAUACUCUCUAGUGACCGAUAGUGAACCAGUACCGUGAGGGAAAGGUGAAAAGCACCCCGGAAGGGGAGUGAAAUAGAACCUGAAACCGUGUGCUUACAAGUAGUCAGAGCCCGUUAAUGGGUGAUGGCGUGCCUUUUGUAGAAUGAACCGGCGAGUUACGAUUUGAUGCAAGGUUAAGCAGUAAAUGUGGAGCCGUAGCGAAAGCGAGUCUGAAUAGGGCGUUUAGUAUUUGGUCGUAGACCCGAAACCAGGUGAUCUACCCUUGGUCAGGUUGAAGUUCAGGUAACACUGAAUGGAGGACCGAACCGACUUACGUUGAAAAGUGAGCGGAUGAACUGAGGGUAGCGGAGAAAUUCCAAUCGAACCUGGAGAUAGCUGGUUCUCUCCGAAAUAGCUUUAGGGCUAGCCUCAAGUGAUGAUUAUUGGAGGUAGAGCACUGUUUGGACGAGGGGCCCCUCUCGGGUUACCGAAUUCAGACAAACUCCGAAUGCCAAUUAAUUUAACUUGGGAGUCAGAACAUGGGUGAUAAGGUCCGUGUUCGAAAGGGAAACAGCCCAGACCACCAGCUAAGGUCCCAAAAUAUAUGUUAAGUGGAAAAGGAUGUGGCGUUGCCCAGACAACUAGGAUGUUGGCUUAGAAGCAGCCAUCAUUUAAAGAGUGCGUAAUAGCUCACUAGUCGAGUGACACUGCGCCGAAAAUGUACCGGGGCUAAACAUAUUACCGAAGCUGUGGAUUGUCCUUUGGACAAUGGUAGGAGAGCGUUCUAAGGGC
Molecule: ribosomal RNA, 1235 nt
Filed under: Staphylococcus aureus
Lineage: Bacteria; Bacillati; Bacillota; Bacilli; Caryophanales; Staphylococcaceae
Description: partial 23S ribosomal RNA
Rfam family: Bacterial large subunit ribosomal RNA
Source: RNAcentral